CCCAGUUUAAUUUGAAUUUCAGGUAAACGAGGAGAAAUAUUUUAAUAUAAGUAUGCCUCAUGCAAUAUCUGGGACAUACUUAUACUAAAAAAUGACUUGUUUAUCUGAAAUUUAAAUUGAACUG
This 124-nucleotide microRNA precursor is filed under the name Pteropus vampyrus (large flying fox). RNAcentral's name for it is "miRNA (ENSPVAG00000025718.1)". The stretch from base 39 to 90 matches the Rfam family "mir-1302 microRNA precursor family". Lineage: Eukaryota; Metazoa; Chordata; Mammalia; Chiroptera; Pteropodidae. The record is from RNAcentral.